GUCUGUGGCCAUACCACCCUGAACAUACCUGAUCUCAUCUGAUCUCAGAAGCUAAACAGAGUCAGGCAUGGUUAGUACUUGGAUGAGAGAAGAGUUCACUAUGGCUGCUGUGU
This 113-nucleotide ribosomal RNA is filed under the name Mustela putorius furo (domestic ferret). The record is from RNAcentral. Lineage: Eukaryota; Metazoa; Chordata; Mammalia; Carnivora; Mustelidae.